CAAAGAAUAGUUUAUUAGAAUAUUAAUUUUGGAGAUUAAAGGUAUAAUUUUAAUUAUUUUUUUGA
RNAcentral lists this transfer RNA (65 nucleotides) under Pheidole nodus. RNAcentral describes it as "tRNA-Pro". The record is from RNAcentral. Lineage: Eukaryota; Metazoa; Arthropoda; Insecta; Hymenoptera; Formicidae.